UACGUAGGGUGCGAGCGUUAAUCGGAAUUACUGGGCGUAAAGCGUGCGCAGGCGGUUGUGCAAGACAGAUGUGAAAUCCCCGGGCUCAACCUGGGAACUGCAUUUGUGACUGCACAGCUUGAGUGUGUCAGAGGGGGGUAGAAUUCCACGUGUAGCAGUGAAAUGCGUAGAGAUGUGGAGGAAUACCGAUGGCGAAGGCAGCCCCCUGGGAUAACACUGACGCUCAUGCACGAAAGCGUGGGGAGCAAACAGG
This 253-nucleotide ribosomal RNA is filed under the name uncultured bacterium. RNAcentral describes it as "partial 16S ribosomal RNA". It matches the Rfam family "Bacterial small subunit ribosomal RNA", at positions 524 to 776 of the family's 1533-position model. The record is from RNAcentral.